Parambassis ranga (Indian glassy fish) is the source of this 1433-nucleotide long non-coding RNA. NCBI's taxonomy places the organism in Eukaryota, Metazoa, Chordata, Actinopteri, Ambassidae. The record is from Ensembl.
AUUUCUGUGUAUCAUGCUUCAUUUUGAUUUUUACAUUUAAGCAGGUCCACAAAUCCACCAGAAAACUCUCCAGAGGAGGAAAGGAAUGGCACUGUUGAAGUGAAGGUACAUCCUCCGUACCCCUUUAACCAGAGCCUGCUGUCCAGUGACGACGGUGAAGAAGAUGAGCAGGAUGAAGCCGCCAAUCUGCCUGCUACAUCCUGGCACCCAAAGCCUCUCGGGCUAUGCACUUUUGGAUGUCGCACAUUCGGUUGGAGCGUCUUCACAUUUGACCGCCGUUCGUAUCACCUGCGGUUUGCCCUUGGUGCCAUGUUGGAGCGGCAUGUCGGCACACAUUUGUGGAAGAAAAUGCCUCAAGUAUCAUCAGGUCUCAGAUCACGCCAUGUCAAACCUCAAAUCGAAACAACUGUCAGAACUUUGGACAAACCUUCCAAAUCCACUGGCUUCCACAGCCUUGAGUCUACCUCGCUGGGACAACUGGCAAUGAAAAGAAGUCAGCAGACCUUUCACACUACCAAACUGCCUUAUUCCACUGACUCUGCAUGCCUUGGGGCUGAUAGACAGUGCAAGGCUCAGCUUAAGUUGGACCUUAUGCAAAAUGCAAGUGCAGCACAGAAGGUGCGGUACACAAAAAUGUUGCACAGUAGUGAGGACAAAUCCUCCGGAUACAUCAGGGAACCCCCACACAUCCCCUCCUCUCAAGGACCAGCCACUAGUACCUUGUCCCACAGAAAGAAGCCAUGCCCUCCUCUCCCCAAGAAGCCAGCUGAGAGACAGCUGUCAGGUUUGGAGAAGUGUUUUCCUGCAUCAACUUACUGUUCUCCCCGCAGCAGAGGUAAGCCCCAAGAGGCAAAGCAGAAAGUGAUGGGGUCUGACCAAAGGAAUCUAGCCCAAAAGCGCAAAGGUAACGAACAAAGGUCGCUGGCCCUUAGCUCCUCACUAUCCAGAGCCUCCAAGUAUAAAUGUCUGUCCUCCACUUCCCGCUCUAGCCUCGUGUCCUGGAAGGGAGAGAGUAUUGAGGACGUGCUUUCUUGAGGAUUGGAACAAAGAUCUGACCCAUGAGACCUAAUUCCCGUUUGUAGUGUGGUCUUUACAAACAUGAUUCUGCAUGGUGCAUCUUUUUUUUUAAACAUUAGUGAAUUUAUAUGUGAGUGACACUUGUUUACAUUGCAUCUUUAUAGCCAAUGAAAAGUCAGCCUUAAAAGGUCCACUUGGAGAAGAGGCCUCAGCCGGGCCAUUGGUGCUGCCAACAUAGUGAGUGUGUGUGUCAUUUUGUUUAUGUUAAUUUAUCUCAGUUUUUAUGCACAAAUAUCAGGAAAAAGCAUUUGUAUCUGUAUAUGUAUUACUGUAUUUGGGUAUACUAUGUCACAGUCGGUUAUCUGUGUAAGAACCUAAACAUACCUCAGUCUGCUGCUAAAAUUAAAAGACAUCUC